This is a long non-coding RNA of Lycium barbarum (goji berry), 668 nucleotides long. RefSeq lists it as uncharacterized. The record is from RefSeq and is a predicted model, not a curated record. NCBI's taxonomy places the organism in Eukaryota, Viridiplantae, Streptophyta, Magnoliopsida, Solanales, Solanaceae. The transcript has 2 exons.
UCUUGGGAGAAUAAUAAUUGGGUUGUUGAAGAGAAUUAUAUGAACUAUGCUAGGAUUGUUGGAUUGUUGAUGUGGGAUUGUUGGAUUCAUAUGUGUGAUGAAGAAUGAUGUUAAUUACACCUAAUUGAGAUUGUAGAUUUGGCUAGAAGUAAAAGAAUGGGGAUUUGGUGAAGAAAACACCAUUAAUGAGGGUCAUAGAGCUUCAUGCCCACUAAGUGUUUGAUAAAAUGCUUAGAUGAACAAAACAUGGAUAUUGUUGCUAAUAUAGAAUCCCUAUGACUUGUAUUGCUAUAGAUUGAAGUUGAAGGGAUUGAAGAACAUUGUGAUACGCUCAAAAGCGGGAAGUUAAGGUACGGAUUUACAGGACGACGCUUCUGAUCAUUAGGAUUUGCUCGUAUCAGCUUAUUGGUGAGCCCCAUCUCAUUCGGGGUUUAGUCAACUUUUACUUUAUGAUUAAUUAUGCAUCUAAAGGUAUGCUGGGGGCCUUGUCCCAGUAAGUAUGUUUUCCAGUCAGACUCAUGAUAGAGGUUUCAUAGACUAGACAAGUCAGUUAUGCUAUGUCAGACAUUCGGAGUCGUAUAGCCAUUUUUGGCUCAUUCAUGUUAUUUCCGCACUCAUGUUUAAACAAGUGUUUUUAUUAAGUAUUAUGACUUACUACAUUUUAUAAA